AAAAGCAACUAACAAGGAUUCCCUUAGUAACGGCGAGUGAACAGGGACUAGCCCAGCACCGAAGCUUGUGGUCACUUGAUCAUUAAGCAAUGUGGUGUUUAGGUUGUUUCGCGAAAGCACUGCUCUACCCUAAGUCCGGCAAUGAACACGGUAGUACGGACAUGGCCCACAGAGGGUGAAAGGCCCGUGUGGGUAGAGAUUCUGCAGUCCAGUGCCUUCCUGGAAUUACCUUGGAGUCGGGUUGUUUGUGAUUGCAGCCCAAAGUGGGUGGUAAACUCCAUCCAAGGCUAAAUACAUACACGAGUCCGAUAGCAAACAAGUACCGUGAGGGAAAGUUGAAAAGUACUUUGAAGAGAGAGUAAACAGUGCGUGAAGCCGCUCAGAGUCUAAACGAAUGGAGUUGAACUGCGACUAUUGAGAAUUCAGCUGGCGAGGAUGGUUUGUGCUUGGGCAAAUCCGUUAAACCUCAGAGUCUGCUGGAAUGGGGCUUUCGUCAUUUGACGGGAGUGUGUGAUAUGCAUAUUAUGUGUUACACGCUUUGGGGUUUAUUGAACUGCCUUGUCAGUGCACUUUCUCUUUGUGUUCACCAGGACCGGCAUUGCUGUCGUUACAAUUCGGUUAAACCGUUCGCUUUUUGUCCUUGAGGCAUUGAGUGUUCGGGAUGGCAGGUAGCUUGUUGGUUUGUUCGCGGUUUUCCGUGAGUUUGAUCGACGAGUGUUAUCAGCUGACUGUGUUGUUUUGUGCGGUGUGUCGGAGACGGCGGCUAGUGAUGUAUGUGGGUGCUUUUUGCUGACGAAUUUGAGUUUGAUUAUCAUGUUGCUUGUUCCAGCAAGCCUGGUAGUGGCUCGGGUUUGGUUAGUAAGGAGUUGCUUAUGUAUUAUCAUUCCAAGGGCCUAAAGUCUCUGGUGUGGUGGUAGACUUUCCAUUCGACCCGUCUUGAAACACGGACCAAGGAGAUUUACAUGUGCGCGAGUUAUUGGGCGUUACGAAACCCAUAGACGUAGUGAAAGUAAAAAUGCGGCUUGUCCGUAUUGUGGUGAGAUCCUGCUCUACCUAACACGCGGUACUACCAAGUAUGGGUGAGUGGGCGCAUCACCGGCCCGUCCCAUGAUAAUUGCCAAUGGUUUUUUACUGUCGGGGCGGAGCAUGAGCGUACAUGUUGAGACCCGAAAGAUGGUGAACUAUGCUUGCGCAGGUUGAAGCCAGAGGAAACUCUGGUGGAGGACCGCAGCGUUUCUGACGUGCAAAUCGAUCGCCGNACGUGAGUAUAGGGGCGAAAGACUA
This 1284-nucleotide ribosomal RNA is filed under the name Antorchis pomacanthi. RNAcentral describes it as "eukaryotic LSU rRNA". It matches the Rfam family "Eukaryotic large subunit ribosomal RNA", at positions 57 to 933 of the family's 3401-position model. The record is from RNAcentral. Lineage: Eukaryota; Metazoa; Platyhelminthes; Trematoda; Plagiorchiida; Zoogonidae.